UGCACAAUGGGCGCAAGCCUGCUGCAGCGACGCCGCGUGUGGGAUGAAGGGGCUACGCCUCGUAAACCACCGUAGCCCGGGCCGAAAAACGCCUUACGGGCGUUAGACGGUACCGGGAAAGUAAGGGUCGGCUAACUACGUGCCAGCAGCCGCGGUAAUAGGUAGGACGCUAGCGUUGUCCGGAUUUACUGGGUGUCAAGGGUGCGCAGGCGGGUGGGUAAGUCAGGGGUGAAAGUCUGCAGCGUAACUGUAGAAUUGCCUAUGCAACGGCGCAUCUUGAGUGUGUGAGAUGGUGAUGGAAUUCCAGGUGUAGCACGGAGAUGCGUAGAUAGCUGGAAUAACACCAGUGGCGAAGGCGGUCAACUGGCCCAUAACUGACGCUCAUGCA
Molecule: ribosomal RNA, 388 nt
Filed under: uncultured bacterium
Lineage: Bacteria
Description: bacterial SSU rRNA
Rfam family: Bacterial small subunit ribosomal RNA
Source: RNAcentral